GACGAACGCUGGCGGCGUGCUUAACACAUGCAAGUCGAACGGUAAGGCCCUUCGGGGUACACGAGUGGCGAACGGGUGAGUAACACGUGGGUGAUCUGCCCUGCACUUCGGGAUAAGCCUGGGAAACUGGGUCUAAUACCGGUUAGGACCCUGGGAUGCAUGUCCUGGGGUGGAAAGCUUUUGCGGUGUGGGAUGGGCCCGCGGCCUAUCAGCUUGUUGGUGGGGGUGAUGGCCUACCAAGGCGACGACGGGUAGCCGGCCUGAGAGGGUGACCGGCCACACUGGGACUGAGAUACGGCCCAGACUCCUACGGGAGGCAGCAGUGGGGAAUAUUGCACAAUGGGCGCAAGCCUGAUGCAGCGACGCCGCGUGAGGGAUGACGGCCUUCGGGUUGUAAACCUCUUUCAGCACCGACGAAGCGCAAGUGACGGUAGGUGCAGAAGAAGGACCGGCCAACUAGGUGCCAGCCGCCGCAGUAA
RNAcentral lists this ribosomal RNA (479 nucleotides) under uncultured bacterium. RNAcentral describes it as "partial 16S ribosomal RNA". It matches the Rfam family "Bacterial small subunit ribosomal RNA", at positions 28 to 523 of the family's 1533-position model. The record is from RNAcentral.